This 294-nucleotide unclassified non-coding RNA is filed under the name uncultured Leotiomycetes. RNAcentral describes it as "sequence contains ITS1". The stretch from base 1 to 105 matches the Rfam family "5.8S ribosomal RNA", at positions 50 to 154 of the family's 154-position model. Lineage: Eukaryota; Fungi; Ascomycota; Leotiomycetes. The record is from RNAcentral.
GAAAUGCGAUAAGUAAUGUGAAUUGCAGAAUUCAGUGAAUCAUCGAAUCUUUGAACGCACAUUGCGCCCUCUGGUAUUCCGGGGGGCAUGCCUGUUCGAGCGUCAUUACAACCCUCAAGCUCUGCUUGGUAUUGGGCACUGCGGGUAACUGCAGGCCUUAAAAUCAGUGGCGGUGCCAUUCGGCUUCAAGCGUAGUAAUUCUUCUCGCUUUGGAGACCCGAGUGGUUACUAGCCAUCAACCCCCAAUUUUUUCAGGUUGACCUCGGAUCAGGUAGGGAUACCCGCUGAACUUAA